GCUCCUACGGGGGCAGCAGUGAGGAAUAUUGGUCAAUGGUCGGGAGACUGAACCAGCCAAGCCGCGUGAGGGAUGAAGGUACAGAGUAUCGUAAACCUCUUUUGUCAGGGAACAAAGGCGGGGACGUGUCCCCGGAUGAGUGUACCUGAAGAAAAAGCAUCGGCUAACUCCGUGCCAGCAGCCGCGGUAAUACGGAGGAUGCGAGCGUUAUCCGGAUUUAUUGGGUGUAAAGGGCGUGUAGGCGGGCAUGCAAGCCAGAAGUGAAAUCUGGGGGCUUAACCCCCACA
This 287-nucleotide ribosomal RNA is filed under the name uncultured bacterium. RNAcentral describes it as "partial 16S ribosomal RNA". It matches the Rfam family "Bacterial small subunit ribosomal RNA", at positions 335 to 620 of the family's 1533-position model. The record is from RNAcentral.